Molecule: ribosomal RNA, 301 nt
Filed under: uncultured bacterium
Lineage: Bacteria
Description: partial 16S ribosomal RNA
Rfam family: Bacterial small subunit ribosomal RNA
Source: RNAcentral
CAGUCGCCACGGUAAAACAGAGGGUGCGAGCGUUAAUCGGAUUUACUGGGCGUAAAGCGUGCGUAGGCGGCUUCUUAAGUCGGAUGUGAAAUCCCUGAGCUUAACUUAGGAAUUGCAUUCGAUACUGGGAAGCUAGAGUAUGGGAGAGGAUGGUAGAAUUCCAGGUGUAGCGGUGAAAUGCGUAGAGAUCUGGAGGAAUACCGAUGGCGAAGGCAGCCAUCUGGCCUAAUACUGACGCUGAGGUACGAAAGCAUGGGGAGCAAACAGGAUUAGAGACCCGAGUAGUCCCUGUCUCUUAUAC